UACAGAGGUCUCAAGCGUUGUUCGGAUUCAUUGGGCGUAAAGGGUGCGUAGGCGGCGCGGUAAGUCGGGUGUGAAAUCUCGGAGCUUAACUCCGAAACUGCAUUCGAUACUGCCGUGCUUGAGGACUGGAGAGGAGACUGGAAUUUACGGUGUAGCGGUGAAAUGCGUAGAUAUCGUAAGGAAGACCAGUGGUGAAGGCGGGUCUCUGGACAGUUCCUGACGCUGAGGCACGAAGGUCAGGGGAGCAAACGGG
Molecule: ribosomal RNA, 253 nt
Filed under: uncultured bacterium
Lineage: Bacteria
Description: partial 16S ribosomal RNA
Rfam family: Bacterial small subunit ribosomal RNA
Source: RNAcentral